Molecule: small nuclear RNA, 102 nt
Organism: Trichosurus vulpecula (common brushtail)
Lineage: Eukaryota; Metazoa; Chordata; Mammalia; Diprotodontia; Phalangeridae
Source: RefSeq, a predicted model, not a curated record
GUUCACUUUAGCAGUACAUAUACAAAAGCAGGAAUGAUACUGAGAUGAGCAUGCUCCCUGCAAAAGAAUGACUAGUAAAUUCGUGAAACAUUCUUUAUUUUU